UGAGUUUGAUCCCUGGCUCAGAUUGAACGCUGGCGGCAGGCCUAACACAUGCAAGUCGAGCGGUAACAGAAAGUAAGCUUGCUUACUUUGCUGACGAGCGGCGGACGGGUGAGUAAUGCCUAGGGAUCUGCCCAGUCGAGGGGGAUAACAGUUGGAAACGACUGCUAAUACCGCAUACGCCCUACGGGGGAAAGGAGGGGACCUUCGGGCCUUCCGCGAUUGGAUGAACCUAGGUGGGAUUAGCUAGUUGGUGAGGUAAUGGCUCACCAAGGCGACGAUCCCUAGCUGUUCUGAGAGGAUGAUCAGCCACACUGGGACUGAGACACGGCCCAGACUCCUACGGGAGGCAGCAGUGGGGAAUAUUGCACAAUGGGCGAAAGCCUGAUGCAGCCAUGCCGCGUGUGUGAAGAAGGCCUUCGGGUUGUAAAGCACUUUCAGUAGGGAGGAAAGGGUGUUACUUAAUACGUAAUAUCUGUGACGUUACCUACAGAAGAAGGACCGGC
RNAcentral lists this ribosomal RNA (503 nucleotides) under Shewanella sp. R2-Sid-T25-13. RNAcentral describes it as "bacterial SSU rRNA". It matches the Rfam family "Bacterial small subunit ribosomal RNA", at positions 1 to 497 of the family's 1533-position model. The record is from RNAcentral. Lineage: Bacteria; Pseudomonadati; Pseudomonadota; Gammaproteobacteria; Alteromonadales; Shewanellaceae.